This 439-nucleotide ribosomal RNA is filed under the name uncultured bacterium. RNAcentral's name for it is "partial 16S ribosomal RNA". It matches the Rfam family "Bacterial small subunit ribosomal RNA", at positions 338 to 795 of the family's 1533-position model. The record is from RNAcentral.
CCUACGGGGGGCAGCAGUGGGGGAUAUUGCACAAUGGAGGAAACUCUGAUGCAGCGACGCCGCGUGAGGGAAGACGGUCCUCGGAUUGUAAACCUCUGUUUUUGGGGAAGAAAAUGACGGUACCCAAAGAGGAUGCUCCGGCAAACUACGUGCCAGCAGCCACGGUAAUAGGUGGGGAGCGAGCGUUGUCCGGAAUUACUGGGUGUAAAGGGAGCGUAGGCGGGCGAGAAAGUUGAAUGUUAAAUCUACCGGCUAAACUUGUAGCUGCGUUCGACACUUCUUGUCUUGAGUGAAGUAGAGGCAGGCGGAAUUCCUAGUGUAGCGGUGAAAUGCGUAGAUAUUAGGAGGAACACCAGUGGCGAAGGCGGCCUGCUGGACUUUAACUGACGCUGAGGCUCGAAAGCGUGGGGAGCAAACAGGAUUAGAUACCCGUGUAGUC